GAUGGACGCUGGCGGCGUGCCUAAUACAUGCCAGUCGAGCGAACGGACGAGAAGCUUGCUUCUCUGAUGUUAGCGGCGGACGGGUGAGUAACACGUGGAUAACCUACCUAUAAGACUGGGAUAACUUCGGGAAACCGGAGCUAAUACCGGAUAAUAUUUUGAACCGCAUGGUUCAAAAGUGAAAGACGGUCUUGCUGUCACUUAUAGAUGGAUCCGCGCUGCAUUAGCUAGUUGGUAAGGUAACGGCUUACCAAGGCAACGAUGCAUAGCCGACCUGAGAGGGUGAUCGGCCACACUGGAACUGAGACACGGUCCAGACUCCUACGGGAGGCAGCAGUAGGGAAUCUUCCGCAAUGGGCGAAAGCCUGACGGAGCAACGCCGCGUGAGUGAUGAAGGUCUUCGGAUCGUAAAACUCUGUUAUUAGGGAAGAACAUAUGUGUAAGUAACUGUGCACAUCUUGACGGUACCUAAUCAGAAAGCCACGGCUAACUACGUG
RNAcentral lists this ribosomal RNA (497 nucleotides) under uncultured bacterium. RNAcentral describes it as "partial 16S ribosomal RNA". It matches the Rfam family "Bacterial small subunit ribosomal RNA", at positions 28 to 507 of the family's 1533-position model. The record is from RNAcentral.